CGGACGUGAGGAACCUGCCUUUCAGAGGGGGACAACAGUUGGAAACGACUGCUAAUACCGCAUGACACAUAGAGAUCGCAUGGUUUUUUAUUGUCAAAGAUUUAUCGCUGAAAGAUGGCCUCGCGUCUGAUUAGCUAGUUGGUGAGGUAACGGCCCACCCAAGGCGACGAUCAGUAGCCGGACUGAGAGGUUGACCGGCCACAUUGGGACUGAGAUACGGCCCAG
This 225-nucleotide ribosomal RNA is filed under the name uncultured bacterium. RNAcentral describes it as "partial 16S ribosomal RNA". It matches the Rfam family "Bacterial small subunit ribosomal RNA", at positions 112 to 334 of the family's 1533-position model. The record is from RNAcentral.